UACCUUAUGUUGCCUCGGCGGAUCAGCCCGCGCCCCGUAAAAAGGGACGGCCCGCCGCAGGAACCUUAAACUCUGUUUUUAGUGGAACUUCUGAGUAUAAAAAAC
RNAcentral lists this unclassified non-coding RNA (105 nucleotides) under Fusarium culmorum. Its description in RNAcentral is "sequence contains ITS1, 5.8S rRNA gene and ITS2". Lineage: Eukaryota; Fungi; Ascomycota; Sordariomycetes; Hypocreales; Nectriaceae. The record is from RNAcentral.